Molecule: transfer RNA, 68 nt
Filed under: Roseivirga pacifica
Lineage: Bacteria; Pseudomonadati; Bacteroidota; Cytophagia; Cytophagales; Roseivirgaceae
Rfam family: tRNA
About the family: Transfer RNA (tRNA) molecules are approximately 80 nucleotides in length. Their secondary structure includes four short double-helical elements and three loops (D, anti-codon, and T loops).
Source: Rfam by way of RNAcentral
GGGGUAGUAGCUCAGUUGGUAGAGCACCAUGCUUUUAACAUGGUAAAUGGAUUAGGUUUCCAUUUUCA